UGACAAUUGAUUUGCUGAACAAUGUAAUGGAUUUAAGUACAAAAUGAACAUUUGACAAAUUGGCCAGACGUAUCAACAAUGGACUUGUAAGAGACAAUAGUUACUGUUUCUUAGACGUCAAUACAUUCAAUUAGUUUAUUAUUGCAGUACCACGUUUGACAAUUGAUUUGCUGAACAAUGGAAUGGAUUUAAGUACAAAAAGAAACAUUUGACAAAUUGGCCAGACGUAUCAACAAUGGACUUGUAAGAGACAAUAGUUACUGUUUCUUAGACGUCAAUACAUUCAAUUAGUUUAUUGUAAGAUUUGUGUAUUAAAUUAAAUCAUUGGUUUUUAGAAUGUCAAAACUAUUAUAGGUAUUUAAAUAGGUGUCAGUUAAUCUCAAAUAUCAUACUAUUAUUUAUACAAUCCUUGUCAUUAUCAUUAUAGUAAGUUUUGUAUUUGUUUAAAGAAACAUUUAAUGUAUAAAAUGUAUUGUUUAAUUGAAGUUGUAAUCAUUUAAAUUUUCAGUAUUAUAUUUUUUAAAGUUUUUUCAAUUUCAAACUUUUAUGAUAAUUGAUUCAAUCUUCAUAUUUUUCUACAAUUUCCAAUACGGUUAAUACACUGUUAUCAAUUUACUUUUUCCUUAUUCCUAUUAUUUUUUUUUUGCAUUUUACACUCACAGAGGAUAAGUCUAUGUCCACUUAAUGGUAAUAACAAAUCCGUUUUCUCGAGUAAUCUCAGUUAAAUUAUUGUAUUAAUAUAAUAUUCCACACUCUCGUGUCCUGUACUCGUGUGCCUGUAGUAUUAAUUAUAAAAAAUGGAAAAUGUGACAUCACACCAUGUAUGUAAUAUCAGUAUACGGACAGUACGUUGUCCGUAACAGUUACUUUAAAGUCAACUAUUGAUGUAUCCGGGCGCAUGGACUACUAUUGUACGUUCUCGGCCGGAACAAUAGAAGAACGUGUUACCUAUCAAGUACAGCUUUUAAUAAAAAAUGUUAUGAAUUAUUUUCAUAUAAUAUUAUCAAUUAUAUAUCAGUUAUAUUUGUGAUUAUGCGGAAAGUUGUGUUUUGGAAGGUUUGUAUUUUGAUUUUGUUGGAUUUUUUGUAUGCUCUCCAUUACUGGAUCUCGUGUGUCAAAAAGGGAAUUAAUUAAGUUUUGUAUGGGUUUGAUUAGAUUAGUUUAGGUCGUUCGUUCACGAGUUUGCCACUUGUUUUUAUUUGUAUUUAUUUUAUAUAUUUUACUAUAUUGUACGAGUAUUCUUUUUAUCUAUACUGUUGUUAUUACAUAAUAUUUGUACUAUUAUACUAUCCGUUGAGCUGGCAUGGGCCAACUAUUAUUACAUUUUUAUUGCUGAGUCAAACAAUUAUAUUAAUAUUAAUAUUA
Aphis gossypii (cotton aphid) is the source of this 1365-nucleotide long non-coding RNA. RefSeq lists it as uncharacterized. The record is from RefSeq and is a predicted model, not a curated record. The transcript has 2 exons. Lineage: Eukaryota; Metazoa; Arthropoda; Insecta; Hemiptera; Aphididae.